Molecule: ribosomal RNA, 900 nt
Filed under: uncultured marine bacterium
Lineage: Bacteria
Description: bacterial SSU rRNA
Rfam family: Bacterial small subunit ribosomal RNA
Source: RNAcentral
AGAGUUUGAUCCUGGCUCAGGAUGAACGCUGGCGGCAUGCCUCAUACAUGCAAGUUGAACGUGAUCUAGUUGACGAUUUAUCAGAUACUAGUGAAAGUGGCGGACGGGUGAGUAACGCAUGAACAAUCUACCUCAUACAAAGGGAUAGCCCCGAGAAAUUGGGAUUAAUACCAUAUAAGACUACAGCUUCGCAUGAAGCAGUAGUAAAAACUACGGUGGUAUGAGAUGAGUUCGUGUCUGAUUAGCUAGUUGGUGGGGUAAAGGCUUACCAAGGCGACGAUCAGUAGCCGGCUUGAGAGAGUGGACGGCCACACUGGGACUGAGACACGGCCCAGACUCCUACGGGAGGCAGCAGUAGGGAAUAUUGCACAAUGGGGGAAACCCUGAUGCAGCAAUGCCGCGUGAAGGAUGAAGGACUUAGGUUUAUAAACUUCUAUCGAUGGGGAAGAAAAAAAUGACGGUACCCAAAUAAGAAGCUCCGGCUAACUAUGUGCCAGCAGCCGCGGUAAUACAUAGGGAGCAAGCGUUAUCCGGAAUUACUGGGUGUAAAGGGUGUGUAGGCGGUCGCGAAAGUCAGACGUGAAAACUUUAGGCUCAACCUAAAGACUGCAUUUGAAACUUCGCGACUAGAGUACAGGAGAGGUAAGUGGAAUUUCUAGUGUAGCGGUUAAAUGCGUAGAUAUUAGGAGGAACACCAGUGGCGAAGGCGACUUACUGGACUGAAACUGACGCUGAGGCACGAAAGUGUGGGGAGCAAACAGGAUUAGAUACCCUGGUAGUCCACACCGUAAACGAUGAAUGCUAGGUGUCGGGGUUUAAAACCUCGGUGCCGCAGCUAACGCAAUAAGCAUUCCACCUGGGGAGUACGAUCGCAAGAUUGAAACUCAAAUGAAUUGACGG